UACGGAGGGUGCAAGCGUUAAUCGGAAUUACUGGGCGUAAAGCGCACGCAGGUGGCUGAGAUAGUCGAUUGUGAAAGCCCUGGGCUUAACCUGGGAAUUGCAUUCGAUACUACUCGGCUAGAGUAUGAGAGAGGGCAGUGGAAUUCCCGGUGUAGCGGUGAAAUGCGCAGAUAUCAGGAGGAACACCGGUGGCGAAGGCGGAUCUCUGGGCCUUACCUGACGCUCAGGCGCGAAAGCUAGGGGAGCGAACAGG
Molecule: ribosomal RNA, 253 nt
Filed under: uncultured bacterium
Lineage: Bacteria
Description: partial 16S ribosomal RNA
Rfam family: Bacterial small subunit ribosomal RNA
Source: RNAcentral